This 465-nucleotide ribosomal RNA is filed under the name uncultured bacterium. RNAcentral describes it as "partial 16S ribosomal RNA". It matches the Rfam family "Bacterial small subunit ribosomal RNA", at positions 28 to 507 of the family's 1533-position model. The record is from RNAcentral.
GACGAACGCUGGCGGCGUGCUUAACACAUGCAAGUCGAACGGAAAGGCCCUGCUUGCAGGGUACUCGAGUGGCGAACGGGUGAGUAACACGUGGGUGAUCUGCCCUGCACUUCGGGAUAAGCCUGGGAAACUGGGUCUACUACCGGAUAGGCGCCAAUUCUAGAGUGAUGGUUGGAAAGUUUUUUCGGUGUAGGAUGAGCUUGCGGUCUAUCAGCUUGUUGGUGGGGUAAUGGCCUAGCAAGGCGGCGACGGGUAGCGGGGCUGAGAGGGUGGACGGACACAUUGGGACUGGGAUGCGGCCCGGACCCCAACGGGAGGGAGCAGUGGGGAAUAGUGCACAAUGGGCGGAAGGCUGAUGCAGCGAAGCCGCGUGGGGGAUGACGGGCUGCGGGUUGGAAUCUCCUUUCGCGAGGGACGAAGCUUUAUGUGACGGUACCUAGAUAAGAAGCACCGGCUAACUACGUG